RNAcentral lists this ribosomal RNA (253 nucleotides) under uncultured bacterium. RNAcentral describes it as "partial 16S ribosomal RNA". It matches the Rfam family "Bacterial small subunit ribosomal RNA", at positions 524 to 776 of the family's 1533-position model. The record is from RNAcentral.
UACGUAGGGUGCAAGCGUUGUCCGGAAUUAUUGGGCGUAAAGAGCUCGUAGGCGGUUUGUCGCGUCUGCUGUGAAAAUCCAGGGCUUAACCCUGGACCUGCAGUGGGUACGGGCAGACUAGAGUGCAGUAGGGGAGAUCGGAAUUCCUGGUGUAGCGGUGAAAUGCGCAGAUAUCAGGAGGAACACCGGUGGCGAAGGCGGAUCUCUGGGCCGUAACUGACGCUGAGGAGCGAAAGCGUGGGGAGCGAUCCGG